This is a long non-coding RNA of Orbicella faveolata, 626 nucleotides long. Lineage: Eukaryota; Metazoa; Cnidaria; Anthozoa; Scleractinia; Merulinidae. The record is from RefSeq and is a predicted model, not a curated record.
GGACGACCUGGUAGAGGGGCAUUAAAAUGGAGGAAAGAAGGUAACUUGAAAUUUCAAUGGUUUUUAGAGUCAACAUUUUCUAGGGAGACAGCAUAGCAUAGCCCGAAGAGUUUCGAAGUUAACAACGUAACUAUUCGCGAAUAACACAGAUUUAGAGAAGCUUCCCGGUCAUUUUUGUUUUCUUAUAUUUCUAUUUUAUUGGGUUUGAUAGGAUGAAUGUCAGGUACUUCUGACAGUAGCACCUGUAGAGCCGGAGAAAGAACAGUCCGAAACCGUGCCACCCGCGUUGUGUAACACUAACAACAAUGUGAGUGGGGAGAAGGAUGUCGGCAAUAAGGAUGAACCUCAAGAGUCUGCACCUCCCGCCUCACCAGAAAUGGUUGCGUCUUCAACGCCAAAGCCGCCUACAAAGCCAAGACGAUUGUAUCAGGACCAGUUGAGCUUCCUUGAUGACCUUCUCGAAAAGAGAGAAGACGUUUCUAUACACGAAAAACUCGACAUAAUUAUUGAAAACCAGAAAGCAUUUUUUAAGUUUAUGGCUGAUGUAAUGAGGGGAGGGUUUGUAGGUACACAUGUACGUAAUGACGUUAAUCGGGGUUUAGGGCAUGUGCCAAAUAUGGAGGGAG